This 253-nucleotide ribosomal RNA is filed under the name uncultured prokaryote. Its description in RNAcentral is "partial 16S ribosomal RNA". It matches the Rfam family "Bacterial small subunit ribosomal RNA", at positions 524 to 776 of the family's 1533-position model. The record is from RNAcentral.
UACGGGGGGAGCAAGCGUUGUUCGGAUUUACUGGGCGUAAAGGGCGCGUAGGCGGCCUGCUAAGUCGAACGUGAAAUCCCCGAGCUCAACUCGGGAACUGCGUCCGAUACUGGUUGGCUUGAAUCCGGGAGAGGGAUGCGGAAUUCCAGGUGUAGCGGUGAAAUGCGUAGAUAUCCGGAGGAACACCAGUGGCGAAAGCGGCCACCUGGACUGCACCUGACGCUGACACGCGAAAGCUAGGGGAGCGAACGGG